Molecule: long non-coding RNA, 1182 nt
Organism: Daphnia magna
Lineage: Eukaryota; Metazoa; Arthropoda; Branchiopoda; Diplostraca; Daphniidae
Exons: 3
Source: RefSeq, a predicted model, not a curated record
GAUGUGUAUAUAUUUCUGAGACUGCGGACGUCUGUGCUCUGCGCUGUGUGGUGCGCGUCUGUAAAUCACGGGCACUAAUCAUGUUCGCUUAUGACAUUUCCAGGCAACGGCGCAACGAGGGCCACACAACAACGGCCGUCGACAUUGUGUCUCCAUAUCAUAUCGCAUCUGUGACGGCAGGUUGCGGCAUAUCAAGGGCGUUGAUAGGUGGGCCGAGAAAAACCGUUGGACACAGCGUUGUCGUUGAAUGCAGGGGACUUUGACGCAUUGGCCAACCAUCCCAUCAAUGCUGCCAAGCACCGAAUGGGAGAAAAGUCAGCAGAAAGCGUUGCCAAAACACGCGGUGAACUGCCGUCGUUAAAAUGUGGGUGCGGUUCUUCUAUAUAGUCUACAUCCUACUCGUCCUCAUUCGAAUGCGUUUUGUUUUUUCCCUCUCGUUGCUGGUAUAUCUCUGUCGAAAAUGCAAACAUUUUCGGGCUGGAAACUUGCGACGCAUAUUUGCGUUUCCGAAUAGCGCGUCAACAGUUGCCUCCCGCCUCCACCUAUCUAUACAGCAUUAGCGCACCAAAGUUAGCAUUUUUGAUUGUAUUUGUAUAUAUUAUGUAAGACUGUAUAGGCCUAAUACGGGAAUUUUCACUGCAACUAUACGUAUAUUUUCAUAUGCGGACCAUGUGUUUUUUCUUGGUGGUGUUUGCUUUGAGACCAUCAAGAUGAGCCAUACGUACAAUAUAUUUAAGGCAACGCAGAAAAAUAUGUAGAGAGAGAAUAACGUUUUCCAUGUUUUUGUGCACCAGCGUUUUGCCUUUGUUUUGUUUCGGUGUCGUAUUUUGGCCCGCCGCCUUGCGCCAUUUGACAUCAUUUGCAUGUUGGCUGUUGUGGCAGUUUUUUUUUUAUUAUUAUUUCCCAAGAAAGAAAGAAAAAAUAGAAAAUGAAAAAUGAAACAAAAAUUGAAUUGCGUAAAAUUGACGUCCAUCUUUUUUUUUAUUUGAUAUAUUCGCUGAAUAAUAUUAAUUAUAUGGAAGUCGUGUUUGAUUAUAUAUACACAGGUGAUGGUGAUAUGGGCGAGGGUGUUGAGUUGAUUACGGGGGAACAGUUUUUUUCAUUAUGCAGAUGAUCUUAUGGAAAACUCGUUUUUGACUGGAUCAAAAGAACAAAGGGACGACACGGAAACUGUAUACAAUG